This 172-nucleotide ribosomal RNA is filed under the name uncultured bacterium. RNAcentral's name for it is "partial 16S ribosomal RNA". It matches the Rfam family "Bacterial small subunit ribosomal RNA", at positions 327 to 492 of the family's 1533-position model. The record is from RNAcentral.
CUCAACGGGACCCUACGGGAGGCAGCAGUGGGGAAUAUUGCACAAUGGGCGCAAGCCUGAUGCAGCCAUGCCGCGUGUAUGAAGAAGGCUUCGGGUUGUAAAGUACUUUCAGCGAGGAGGAAGGCAUUAAGGUUAAUAACCUUAGUGAUUGACGUUACUCGCAGGAGAAGCA